Molecule: ribosomal RNA, 400 nt
Filed under: uncultured bacterium
Lineage: Bacteria
Description: bacterial SSU rRNA
Rfam family: Bacterial small subunit ribosomal RNA
Source: RNAcentral
GAAUAUUGGACAAUGGGCGCAAGCCUGAUCCAGCCAUGCCGCGUGAGUGAUGAAGGCCCUAGGGUUGUAAAGCUCUUUCAACGGUGAAGAUAAUGACGGUAGCCGUAGAAGAAGCCCCGGCUACCUUCGUGCCAGCAGCCGCGGUAAUACGAAGGGGGCUAGCGUUGUUCGGAAUUACUGGGCGUAAAGCGCGCGUAGGCGGACAUUUAAGUCAGGGGUGAAAUCCCGGGGCUCAACCCCGGAACUGCCUUUGAUACUGGGUGUCUAGAGUCCGGAAGAGGUGAGUGGAAUUGCGAGUGUAGAGGUGAAAUUCGUAGAUAUUCGCAGGAACACCAGUGGCGAAGGCGGCUCACUGGUCCGGUACUGACGCUGAGGUGCGAAAGCGUGGGGAGCAAACAGG